RNAcentral lists this ribosomal RNA (509 nucleotides) under uncultured bacterium. RNAcentral's name for it is "bacterial SSU rRNA". It matches the Rfam family "Bacterial small subunit ribosomal RNA", at positions 15 to 507 of the family's 1533-position model. The record is from RNAcentral.
GAUCCUGGCUCGAGACGAACGCUGGCGGCGUGCCUAAUACAUGCAAGUCGAGCGGACCAAAGGGAGCUUGCUCCUGGAGGUUAGCGGCGAACGGGUGAGUAACACGUGGGCAACCUGCCUGUAAGACUGGGAUAACAUCGAGAAAUCGGUGCUAAUACCGGAUAAUAAAAAGAACUGCAUGGUUCUUUUUUGAAAGAUGGUUUCGGCUAUCACUUACAGAUGGGCCCGCGGCGCAUUAGCUAGUUGGUGAGGUAACGGCUCACCAAGGCGACGAUGCGUAGCCGACCUGAGAGGGUGAUCGGCCACACUGGGACUGAGACACGGCCCAGACUCCUACGGGAGGCAGCAGUAGGGAAUCUUCCGCAAUGGACGAAAGUCUGACGGAGCAACGCCGCGUGAGUGAUGAAGGUUUUCGGAUCGUAAAACUCUGUUGUUAGGGAAGAACAAGUGCCGUUCGAAAGGGCGGCACCUUGACGGUACCUAACGAGAAAGCCACGGCUAACUACGUG